CGGGGGAAUCGACCCCCUCGGUGUCGUAGCUAACGCGUUAAGUGUUCCGCCUGGGGAGUACGCACGCAAGUGUGAAACUCAAAGGAAUUGACGGGGGCCCGCACAAGCGGUGGAGUAUGUGGUUUAAUUCGAUGCAACGCGAAGAACCUUACCAGGGUUUGACAUCCUGCGAAUCCCAUAGAAAUUUGGGAGUGCCUUCGGGAGCGCAGAGACAGGUGGUGCAUGGCUGUCGUCAGCUCGUGUCGUGAGAUGUUGGGUUAAGUCCCGCAACGAGCGCAACCCACGUCUUUAGUUGCCAGCAUUGAGUUGGGCACUCUAGAGAGACCGCCGGUGAUAAACCGGAGGAAGGUGUGGAUGACGUCAAGUCAUCAUGCCCCUUACAUCCUGGGCUACACACGUACUACAAUGCUACGGACAAAGGGUUGCAAACUCGCGAGAGCUAGCUAAUCCCAUAAACCGUGGCUCAGUUCAGAUCGUAGGCUGCAACUCGCCUACGUGAAGGAGGAAUCGCUAGUAAUCGCAGGUCAGCAUACUGCGGUGAAUACGUUCCCGGGCCUUGUACGCACUGCCCGUCACACCAUGGAAGUUGGCC
RNAcentral lists this ribosomal RNA (592 nucleotides) under uncultured cyanobacterium. RNAcentral describes it as "bacterial SSU rRNA". It matches the Rfam family "Bacterial small subunit ribosomal RNA", at positions 824 to 1416 of the family's 1533-position model. The record is from RNAcentral. Lineage: Bacteria; Bacillati; Cyanobacteriota.